This 613-nucleotide ribosomal RNA is filed under the name Eulimnogammarus verrucosus. RNAcentral's name for it is "SSU rRNA". It matches the Rfam family "Eukaryotic small subunit ribosomal RNA", at positions 19 to 548 of the family's 1831-position model. The record is from RNAcentral. Lineage: Eukaryota; Metazoa; Arthropoda; Malacostraca; Amphipoda; Eulimnogammaridae.
AGUAGUCAUAUGCUUGUCUCAAAGAUUAAGCCAUGCAUGUCUAAGUCCAAGCUGUGUUCACACGGCGAGACCGCGGACGGCUCAUUAAAUCAGUCGUGGUCCAAAUGGGCCAGUGCAAAUCCUACUUGGAUAACUGUGGUAAUUCCAGAGCUAAUACAUGCAACUGAUAUCCCGAAGGCGGUGUUGGGGCUUGCUUGCCUUGCGCUGCGCUGCUCUGACGGAUGCUUUUAUUAGACCAAGCCGCUGAGGACUUGAGGGUUCGCGCUCUCUUGUUUGACUCGUGUGAUGGUGACUCUGGAUAACCAAAUUCUGACAAGCGCACGUACUUCUCUUCUGAGCGAGACGGCGCUGCCACUUUCGAGUGUCUGCCUUAUCAGCUAUCAACCGUUCGUUAUGCGCGACCGAUGGCUUUGACGGGUAACGGGGAAUCAGGGUUCGAUUCCGGAGAGGCAGCCUGAGAGACGGCUACCACGUCCAAGGACGGCAGCAGGCACGCAAAUUACCCAAUCCCAGCAAAUGGGGGAGGUAGUGACGAAAUCUAACGAUGCGGGCGCCCUUUCUGGGGCCCCGCAAUCGGAAUGGGCACUUUCUAAACAACCUGUUGAGAACCUAC